AAACUGAAGAGUUUGAUCCUGGCUCAGAUUGAACGCUGGCGGCAUGCCUUACACAUGCAAGUCGAACGGCAGCACGGAGCUUGCUCUGGUGGCGAGUGGCGAACGGGUGAGUAAUAUAUCGGAACGUACCCUAGAGUGGGGGAUAACGUAGCGAAAGUUACGCUAAUACCGCAUACGAUCUAAGGAUGAAAGUGGGGGAUCGCAAGACCUCAUGCUCGUGGAGCGGCCGAUAUCUGAUUAGCUAGUUGGUAGGGUAAAAGCCUACCAAGGCAUCGAUCAGUAGCUGGUCUGAGAGGACGACCAGCCACACUGGAACUGAGACACGGUCCAGACUCCUACGGGAGGCAGCAGUGGGGAAUUUUGGACAAUGGGCGAAAGCCUGAUCCAGCAAUGCCGCGUGAGUGAAGAAGGCCUUCGGGUUGUAAAGCUCUUUUGUCAGGGAAGAAACGGUGAAGGCUAAUAUCCUUUGCUAAUGACGGUACCUGAAGAAUAAGCACCGGCUAACUACGUGCCAGCAGCCGCGGUAAUACGUAGGGUGCAAGCGUUAAUCGGAAUUACUGGGCGUAAAGCGUGCGCAGGCGGUUUUGUA
RNAcentral lists this ribosomal RNA (589 nucleotides) under Janthinobacterium sp. SUN100. Its description in RNAcentral is "bacterial SSU rRNA". It matches the Rfam family "Bacterial small subunit ribosomal RNA", at positions 1 to 585 of the family's 1533-position model. Lineage: Bacteria; Pseudomonadati; Pseudomonadota; Betaproteobacteria; Burkholderiales; Oxalobacteraceae. RNAcentral also lists the same sequence under 1 other name. The record is from RNAcentral.